UCUUUUACUCUCAUUCUGUCCAAGCAUCAGGUUGACGCGUACCCGACGCAGCCGCCAGUAGACGGUCUUUUCGGUCAACAAUUGCAAAACCCUAGAAUGCAUUUUUAAGCCGCAGACACACACCUAUAUAAACAAGUUAGUUCCGUCUAUAUAUAUAGCGAACCAAACGAUACUCGUAGAUAUCUCUCGUGGGGGAAGUGACGAGCAACUAUGGUGUGUUCAGAUUCAAUAUCGUGGGGGAAGUGACGAGCAACUAUAGUCUUCAAAACCCUAGAAUGCAUUCGGUCUAUAUAGCGAACCAACUGAUAUUCGGUCUAUAGUGUUGAGCAACUUCAUACCGAUGAUAUUGUCCGUCUCUAAAAUGCAUUUUCAAGUGGCGGCAUAUCUAGCUCAGUUGUUCUUGUCAUGGGAGUAAUAACGUCAUUCCGGAGUGUAAUAAUAAUGAUAAUGUCUAUUUAGCGAUGAUUUUGUGGUUCUUAUAUAUCUGUGUGUGUGUGUGUGUUUGACUCUCCUUUCAGCUGCAAUGGCAUAGAUUUGAUGAUCUGUUUCUUGGUCUUUCUUGGUUGCUUUGUUCUGGAGGCAUAUAUUCAAUCCCCCAAAGUUUUAGGUGUUUAUUAUUAACUAGAGUUGUUUUUGCUACUUUGGUCUCCUCCCCUUCUUUGGUAAAUUUCCAUACUAGAUUAUUUUUCUUUUCUUUGUUA
Cornus florida is the source of this 701-nucleotide long non-coding RNA. RefSeq lists it as uncharacterized. The record is from RefSeq and is a predicted model, not a curated record. The transcript is spliced from 2 exons. Lineage: Eukaryota; Viridiplantae; Streptophyta; Magnoliopsida; Cornales; Cornaceae.